AUUGAACGCUGGCGGCAUGCCUUACACAUGCAAGUCGAACGGCAGCACGGGUGCUUGCACCUGGUGGCGAGUGGCGAACGGGUGAGUAAUACAUCGGAACGUACCUUAUCGCGGGGGAUAACGCAGCGAAGGCUGUGCUAAUACCGCAUACGCCCUGAGGGGGAAAGCGGGGGAUCGAAAGACCUCGCGCGAUUAGAGCGGCCGAUGCCUGAUUAGCUUGUUGGUGGGGUAAAAGCCCACCAAGGCGACGAUCAGUAGCUGGUCUGAGAGGACGAUCAGCCACACUGGGACUGAGACACGGCCCAGACUCCUACGGGAGGCAGCAGUGGGGAAUUUUGGACAAUGGGGGCAACCCUGAUCCAGCAAUGCCGCGUGAGUGAAGAAGGCCUUCGGGUUGUAAAGCUCUUUUGUCAGGGAAGAAACACCGGCUCUAACACAGUCCGGGAAUGACGGUACCUGAAGAAUAAGCACCGGCUAACUACGUGCCAGCAGCCGCCGCAG
This 501-nucleotide ribosomal RNA is filed under the name uncultured bacterium. Its description in RNAcentral is "partial 16S ribosomal RNA". It matches the Rfam family "Bacterial small subunit ribosomal RNA", at positions 29 to 523 of the family's 1533-position model. The record is from RNAcentral.